UGGCUGCAUGGCUGUCGUCAGCUCGUGUCGUGAGAUGUAGGGUUAAGUCCGCCACGAGCGCAACCCUUGUCUUUAGUUGCUACGCAAGAGCACUCUAAGGAGACUGCCGGUGACAAACCGGAGGAAGGUGGGGAUGACGUCAAGUCCUCAUGGCCCUUAUGGUAGGGCUUCACACGUCAUACAAUGGUCGGUACAGAGGGUUGCCAAGCCGCGAGGUGGAGCCAAUCCCACAAAGCCGAUCGUAGUCCGGAUUGUUCUCUGCAACUCGAGAGCAUGAAGUCGGAAUCGCUAGUAAUCGCAGGUCAGCAUACUGCGGUGAAUACGUUCCCGGGUCUU
This 336-nucleotide ribosomal RNA is filed under the name uncultured Thiobacillus sp. Its description in RNAcentral is "bacterial SSU rRNA". It matches the Rfam family "Bacterial small subunit ribosomal RNA", at positions 1039 to 1382 of the family's 1533-position model. The record is from RNAcentral. Lineage: Bacteria; Pseudomonadati; Pseudomonadota; Betaproteobacteria; Nitrosomonadales; Thiobacillaceae.